AGACAUCCAGUCGUGCUUGCUUGCUACAAAUGGAAUGAUACAUAAAUAAUUAGCAUGGCCCCCGUGCAAGGAUGACGCACAAAUUCAUGAAGUAGUCCAUAUUUUA
RNAcentral lists this small nuclear RNA (106 nucleotides) under Acanthisitta chloris (rifleman). The record is from RNAcentral. Lineage: Eukaryota; Metazoa; Chordata; Aves; Passeriformes; Acanthisittidae.